GAUGAACGCUGGCGGCGUGCCUAAUACAUGCAAGUCGAGCGAACAGACGAGGAGCUUGCUCCUCUGACGUUAGCGGCGGACGGGUGAGUAACACGUGGAUAACCUACCUAUAAGACUGGGAUAACUUCGGGAAACCGGAGCUAAUACCGGAUAAUAUAUUGAACCGCAUGGUUCAAUAGUGAAAGACGGUUUUGCUGUCACUUAUAGAUGGAUCCGCGCCGCAUUAGCUAGUUGGUAAGGUAACGGCUUACCAAGGCAACGAUGCGUAGCCGACCUGAGAGGGUGAUCGGCCACACUGUAACUGAGACACGGUCCAGACUCCUACGGGAGGCAGCAGUAGGGAAUCUUCCGCAAUGGGCGAAAGCCUGACGGAGCAACGCCGCGUGAGUGAUGAAGGUCUUCGGAUCGUAAAACUCUGUUAUUAGGGAAGAACAAAUGUGUAAGUAACUAUACACGUCUUGACGGUACCUAAGCAGAAAGCCACGGCUAACUACGU
Molecule: ribosomal RNA, 496 nt
Filed under: uncultured bacterium
Lineage: Bacteria
Description: partial 16S ribosomal RNA
Rfam family: Bacterial small subunit ribosomal RNA
Source: RNAcentral